GGAUUGCCCUAGUAACGGCGAGUGAAGCGGCAACAGCUCAAAUUUGAAAUCUGGCUCUUUCAGGGUCCGAGUUGUAAUUUGUAGAGGGUGCUUUGGCGUUGACUGUGGUCUAAGUUCCUUGGAACAGGACGUCGCAGAGGGUGAGAAUCCCGUAUGUGGCCGCCAGUCUUCGCCGUGUAAAGCCCCUUCGACGAGUCGAGUUGUUUGGGAAUGCAGCUCUAAAUGGGAGGUAAAUUUCUUCUAAAGCUAAAUAUUGGCCAGAGACCGAUAGCGCACAAGUAGAGUGAUCGAAAGAUGAAAAGCACUUUGGAAAGAGAGUCAAAAAGCACGUGAAAUUGUUGAAAGGGAAGCGCUUGCAGCCAGACUUGCCUGUAGUUGCUCAUCCGGGCUUUUGCCCGGUGCACUCUUCUAUAGGCAGGCCAGCAUCAGUCCUGGCGGUUGGAUAAAUGUCUGCACAAUGUACCUCUCUUCGGGGAGGACUUAUAGGGCAGGCGGCAUACAACCAGCCGGGAUUGAGGUCCGCGCAUCUGCUAG
This 534-nucleotide ribosomal RNA is filed under the name Preussia sp. (in: ascomycete fungi). RNAcentral describes it as "Preussia sp. (in: Fungi) partial large subunit ribosomal RNA". It matches the Rfam family "Eukaryotic large subunit ribosomal RNA", at positions 72 to 609 of the family's 3401-position model. The record is from RNAcentral. Lineage: Eukaryota; Fungi; Ascomycota; Dothideomycetes; Pleosporales; Sporormiaceae.